CGAUGACUGUAAAGGAGCGAUGGCGCGGGUAACGCCGAGCCGCAAACCCGAUGAUAACUAAGGAGCGUUGGCGAGGGUAACGCCGAGCCGCCGAGGAGAGAAGAGAGUGAAAUCGUUUGGGUGAGGAGAGGGACGGCGCGAGGAGUAGAGAGAGAGGCGCGAGAGAGCGACGGGGAGAGCGAGAGCUAAAGCGAGAGAGAGAGAACGGCGGGGAGAGAGAGCGGUGGGUAGAGAGAGAAAGGGAGAGAGAGAUAGGGGAGAUAGAGAUGGCCUGAGGGAGAGAGAGAUAGAGGAGAGCAUCGGGUAGAGAGAGGGACGGUUAGAGAGAGAUAGGAGGAGACAGAGAUGGGUUGAGGGGAGGAGAGAGAGAGAGAGAGAGAGAGAGAGGAGGGAGUUUUACAGCUGUUUUAUUAAUUUUUUACUUUUAUUUUUUUUUCCAGCGUCAACUCUUGAACGCCUAGCACGUGGUUAGAGAGAGAUAGGGAGAGAUAGAGAUGGGUUGAGGGAGAGAGAGAGAGGAGAGGGGGUUCUACAGUUGUUUUUUUUUUUCUUCAUUUGUUUUUUUUGGUUCGCAGCCCCACCUCUUCAACGGCUGCCACGUGGAUUUGGCUUCCCUCCACUCUCCACGUGGCACCGUUGUACCGUCAAAUAGAAUAGUUAUGGAUUUCGUUGUUUUGAUAGGAAAAAAAAUUAAAAAACAAUUGAGAAAAUUUUGUGAGAUUCUAUAAGAUAUGAUAUGAUAGAAGAUCUAGAAAGAAAGAGAGUUGUGGGAGUGAGAGUUAGAAUUUCGAGGUAUAAUAAUUGACUAGGAGAGAGGUAUUUGAAAAGAUUAAAUUAUUAGGGAAAACUUCAAAAACCCCUCCUGUGGUUUCGUAGUUUCUCACUUUGCCCCCCUGUGGUUUAAAAUGUAUCAAAUUGCCCUUAUGUAGUUUUGUUUUUAUCUUUUGGGUAGCUUUUUCAUUAAUAUUUCAUUAAAUUAUAUACAAAAAACUUUAGAUACCCAUCUAGAUUUAUCAAAUAUUCACUUUAAUACUCUUUAAUUUUAACUUUAUCACUGAUUUAAGAAAAAAAAAAUAAUGAAAUUGAUAAGAAAAGGAGAAAAACGAAACCACAAGAGGGCAAAGUGAGAAACUACGAAACCACGGGGGGGGUUUUUGAAGUUUUUCCAAAUUAUUAUAAGAUCCUAUAAGAAAUGAUAGAGAGAGAGGGGAGGGGAGAUAGAGAGAGAGAAAAGGCGAGAGAGAGACAUAUCUGGAGGAGAAAGAGAGAAAAGGGAGAGAAAGCCCGCCAUGUGGAGAGAAUAAAGGAAAAAACACCACGUGGAUUAAAGACUAUCAAAUUAUGUAUUAAAUAAAUAUAGAAUAUAGAUAGAUGGUCUAUCAGAAGGGUAUGUUGUAUAUGGGUCACUGUUAUAA
RNAcentral lists this long non-coding RNA (1415 nucleotides) under Ananas comosus (pineapple). RNAcentral's name for it is "long non-coding RNA (ACOM_LNC003178)". Lineage: Eukaryota; Viridiplantae; Streptophyta; Magnoliopsida; Poales; Bromeliaceae. The record is from RNAcentral.